RNAcentral lists this non-coding RNA (28 nucleotides) under Mus musculus (house mouse). The record is from RNAcentral. Lineage: Eukaryota; Metazoa; Chordata; Mammalia; Rodentia; Muridae.
UGGGCUUUCCUUCCUGAGGGAUAUAGAC